UUUCGCUAAAUUGAAUGAACAGAAAUAUAAUCUUUCAGCGAUAUUCUGUUCCACAUUUCAUACCAGUCGGUGGCGGUAAUGCACCAAUUUCGUUGUUUGCCAACCGCCACUAACCAUCAGAGAAGAAGAAGAAGAAGAAGAAGAAGAAGUCAGCUUCGCAGCAAAGCCAUUACUGAAUACUGAUAUCUGUUUUCACAGUUGGGUUAAGAGCACAAGAUGGAGAACUACAGGGAUGAAGACUCUUCUACAGUCAAUGUCAACAAUGCCAAACAUCCUCUUAAAUGAAUUUAUCGACCAUCAAACCGAAUUCUACCAAUCUUCGCAUGGAUACUGGAUAGGGUUACAUCAUAGUCAAGGCAGUUGGCGUUGGGUUAAUGGACAACCGCUCACCAUCAGG
Molecule: long non-coding RNA, 397 nt
Organism: Gambusia affinis (western mosquitofish)
Lineage: Eukaryota; Metazoa; Chordata; Actinopteri; Cyprinodontiformes; Poeciliidae
Exons: 3
Source: RefSeq, a predicted model, not a curated record